UGGUGUGCGUUGUUUUCAGUUUUCAAAAACUCAAACGUGAGCGUCUGUUUUUGUUGGCAUGUGUCACUAAAAUAUAAACUCUUGAAAAAUAUUUGAAAGUGGCAAAAUGACUUAAGGCAAAUAUAUAGCUUGCUUUCCUACAGGAUCUGUAAACUUUCGAGAAUUUGAGAGGUGGAGACACACAAUUUAGUUGAACUGCGGAAGUGGAAAAGUACCUUUUAGUCUCCUUCUUCUAAAAGUGUCUUCCUAAAAGAAGAGACAUACUUAUCAAGGGGGAUUUUGAAAGAAGAAAUUUAUGUCUGAGGUAAGCCAUAAUUUUGCUUUGAACAAAGGUGUACGCAUGAUCACUUAAUUUAUUGAAGAUGAAAGAUAUUGAAACACUAAAAAAUUGAAAAUAACUUGCAUAUUUAAAUUGAUAA
This is a long non-coding RNA of Uloborus diversus, 419 nucleotides long. RefSeq lists it as uncharacterized. NCBI's taxonomy places the organism in Eukaryota, Metazoa, Arthropoda, Arachnida, Araneae, Uloboridae. The record is from RefSeq and is a predicted model, not a curated record. The transcript is spliced from 4 exons.